UACGGGGGGGGCAAGCGUUGUUCGGAAUUACUGGGCGUAAAGGGCGCGUAGGCGGCCUUCUAAGUCGGACGUGAAAUCCCCAGGCUUAACCUGGGAACUGCAUCCGAUACUGGAUGGCUUGAAUCCGGGAGAGGGAUGCAGAAUUCCAGGUGUAGCGGUGAAAUGCGUAGAUAUCUGGAGGAAUACCGGUGGCGAAGGCGGCAUCCUGGACCGGCAUUGACGCUGAGUGAGCGAAAGCCAGGGGAGCAAACGGG
Molecule: ribosomal RNA, 254 nt
Filed under: uncultured bacterium
Lineage: Bacteria
Description: partial 16S ribosomal RNA
Rfam family: Bacterial small subunit ribosomal RNA
Source: RNAcentral